GCUGCGGGGACCCGGGACCUACAAGUGUGGACUGGUGCGGCCGGUUGGGAUUCGGCUGCGCUCUUGCAAAGGGAAUCAAUGAAAACCAAAGCUAGGUCCCGGCUCAGGCUGGAGGUCGCGGCAACGCGGUAGUUGCGAGCUCGCGGGGCCGUCCCGCGCCUCGCCGACCUUGAACUCCGACAAGUCUUUCUCCAGCCCCCCACCCCCACCCCCCGCGACUCCCACCCUGCCGACGCUCCUCAGUGACAGGGCAAGUGCUUUAAAGUUCUGCUUUUCACCUCUGGCCGAGUCAGAACGACAGCAGAGCUGCCGCAGAAAAGAGUUUGCGUACUGCUCUGGCUUUGAGAAACCGAACUUUGCAAAUGUGGCUGUUCUGGGCCGCGAGGCUGAGGCCGGUCACUGGUUUGAAAAAGGCCAAACAAAUGCGCACCGCCGCAGACAAAACACUCCACUUCGGUAGAGUCGUGCUGCUUGCCUGCUUCCCCCCCCCCCCCCUUUUUUUUUUUACAAAGCACCUGGAGCGGUGAAGCGCCGGUCGUCCCGACUUUAGUAGGCUCUUCUCUGACUUGUGGACAUUUGGGAGUUCUGGGGAGUGGGUGAGGGAGUCUCUGAUGUAUUUCGAGUGUGAUUUGAGCACAACCUUUGUGUUUACACGAACCGCUUAGAGCCUGGUUGGGUCUCUGUACUGGGGGAGAAGAAAAAUCUUAGUCGCCUGUGGGUUACAUGUCUUCAGAAUCACAAAUAAACGCACAACUGUGGAAAACUCAGUUUUAAAUCCCAUCCUCCCCUCCUUCUGGCUCUCGCCAGUGUUCGCCUCCGAAUUAAAUGACUGUUAUUGUGUAUCGGCCCGCAUUACAGCAAAGACUUGCUUAUUUCUCAUUUGCAAAUUGCGGACUCUAUUGCAAGAUUUCAGAGAAUGUUUCCUUAGAGGAAAAAUUUUAAAUCUCGUUUUCUCUCCUUUUCUUCCGAAGAAGUCGACAUUUGGUCUAGGAAAUGGAACUCUUCAGGAGGUAGUAAGUCACAGACUUGUUAAACAGUAUUUACUUUUUGAACGAAUGUAACUCACAAGUGGAUGUGGGCUAGAACCUUGCAGCUUGUUUAUGAGUUUACGAGACCUCAUACAAUAGCCUUGUAUUCAUGACUCCGUGCAAACUCUCGCAAAGUAUAAGAACAACGUCGUCCUUUCUUGGGAGGAAAAAAGUCCCGCUUAGUAUGGACUGAUUUCUGCGUCCUAAGGAGGGGACAGUUGUUGGCAUAACUGUGUGAUCGGCAGACACCUGACCCAAGAGGGGACUCAUAGACCAGACCUUCGGGCAGAAGUUUUAACCAGACUGUCUGUGUUUAGCUGCUUUUUAUUGUAAUUCCCAUGUUUACUGGCAUAAAUUAGUGAAGAGGACUGUGACUUUAAGGUAUUUUGGACUAUUUCACAAUUAUUUGUCAAGAUAAAUAAGUACCUAUAUAAAUCUAUUUUAAUGCAACUGUGUAAUAGGAGAUACGUAAUACAUAGCAUUUUUAA
RNAcentral lists this long non-coding RNA (1516 nucleotides) under Sus scrofa (pig). RNAcentral's name for it is "lncRNA (ENSSSCG00055024848.1)". Lineage: Eukaryota; Metazoa; Chordata; Mammalia; Artiodactyla; Suidae. The record is from RNAcentral.